This is a long non-coding RNA of Trifolium pratense (red clover), 3692 nucleotides long. RefSeq lists it as uncharacterized. The record is from RefSeq and is a predicted model, not a curated record. The transcript has 3 exons. Lineage: Eukaryota; Viridiplantae; Streptophyta; Magnoliopsida; Fabales; Fabaceae.
AUCCCGAUUUUAUUAAUAAGUCAUUUAUUAAUUUAUUUGUGUUUAUUUAAUUAUGUGGCGUAUAACUUUCGUAAGUUAGUAUUUAUGAGUUUUAACCGAUUUUAAUUAAUUAGUGAGUUUAUGUGAAUUGGGCCUAAAGGGUGAUGAGAUGAGUAGAAUGAGGGGGUGCUAAUUGGAAAACAAACCCUUUGUAUUAAGCAAACUUUAUCUAUUAAAUAAAAAACCAUUUAUCACAAAAAAGAAAAAAAAAACAAGAAGAAAAGAAUAGAAAAGAGGUAGAACGAGGAAGAGAAAAGAGAAAAAGAAAGAAAAAGAACAAACUUAGAGAAGGAGAAAAAUCAAGAGAAGGACCAAAGAUUCCAACUAUUGUUAAGAUCCUCAGGUUGUGUAUGUUUGUCGGUGUUCGAGUUGUUGGUGAAGCUCCCCUCUGAUUGUGACACGGAAAAAGGGUUCAUAGAGUCUUUUACUGUUGUUGUCUUAUUUAAUUUAAAGAUGUAUUAGGAAAAAUAUUUUUGUAUAAGUGAUGUUUUACUAAUUAAUUUAAUUAGUAUUGUUUUAACGAAGAAUGUAACACCUUGAACCAAUAUUUUAUAAAUUCAUUUCGACUUAGAGUCUUAAAGUUAUAUUUUUUAUCCGUUGCGUAGUUUUUGAAAAAGCAUUCUUUUAUUAAGAUAAAUUGAAUAUUGGGUUAGGGUGUUACAAAUUGGUAUCAGAGCCCCGUUGUCUUCGGACUGUGUGGGUUAUGUGUCAGUCAGAGCAGGUCUGUGCAGUCAGACCGAGUGAGCGCGGUGUCAGUCGUGUCUGUGUAACUGUUAUGAUUUCGUGUGAUUUAAUUUUUGUAGUUACACUUGCACAUUAGUCACUAUUUAAUUAUUUUUCAAAUGUGUGAUUUGUUUCAUGAAUUUCAUUGCUAGUUCUUUGUUAACGAGUAGUUUUAUUUGAUUCAUGAGACUUGUGCUUUUAAUUGGUAUUGACUUUAGAAUUUAUAAUUCUUACUUAAUGAUUGAAUAUUAAAAUGAUGAUAGUUUAUGUGAUAACUUGUUAAUACUUGAAUGAUAAAUGAUGUUUUGCACUAGUUGCUUGAAUAUGAGAUUUCUUGUCUUCUUGUAAUUAUUGUGAGUAAACUAGAUGUGAAGUUGGUAAUCAUUUUGUUAUUAAUUGAACUUGUGUAGGAUGUUGAAAUUUAUUUUUCUAUUUAGAAUCAAGCAUAACUUUGAAUAUGGUAAUGGAAUUAAUAGUUAAAUUAAUUAUAUGUGGUAGAGUUUAUUUGAAUUCUUAUGAAUGUAUACAUGGGCAUCUUUUGUGUAGUUCUUUCUGACGUAAAAUAAUUUUAGAACUAGUAUUAGUUCUUGAUGAUGUGAAUCUUAUUGGAAAUAUAAUUGUUUUCUUUUGAGUAAGUGAAACAUAAUUUUAUAAAGUAAGAAGAGUAAAAUAACUAGUGGUGAAGUUAAGUGGAUUCUAGGAUAUAUUUGACAUAUGUUUUAUUUUAUAUAUGACAUGCGCUAAAUUAUUCAAAUGAAAGUUGAUUUGUCCUUUUUGUUAUCUGUGAGUUAUAGGGAGUAACUAAACUAUUUUCUUUAAGGGUGUAUUUGGUAAAUGUGAUGUACAAGUUUUGAUUGUUUUAUUUUACUAUGUUAAUUAUCAUGUUAAGUUAAUGAUUUUCUUGCAUGAUAUGUUUAUGUGAAUAUGAAUUGUUGAAUUUUUAAAAUAUGUUGCUAUGAAAUAUUUAUCUUUUCUUGUUUUGAUUUGAUUUGAUUUGAUUUAAUUCUUAAUUUUUCGAAUUAAGGGAAGAUAUAUGUUACUUGAAUGUCUAUCUGAAAUGUUUUGCUUUUGUGCAAUUUUAUAUAGAUGUUCAUGUUUUGUAUUUCGUAGUUUAGUCAUUGUAUGCGACAUGUGUGUAAACACUGUCGAUACUAGUUUCUUUCAUGAGAUCUAGUUAGAGAACCGUAGAAGUCUCCAGUUAUGUAUGAGAGGAGAAUUACAAUAGGAGUUAUAGGUGAGUUUGAGAUAAGUGGGGGAGAAGGUUAAAUUCCUUUGAGAUGUUUAAGUGUAGAAGAAUAAGAUGGAUAGAGAUGUCCGAAGGAGAGCGUUCAUGUGUUGGUGUUGUCCAUUUCGGAGUUAGAUGAUUUGGAAGAGAGUUAGAAGACUGCUAGAGAAGAAGUUUGUCAGAUCGAUUGUUUUGCCAUGAAGAGCGCCAAUGUUGUUAAGUAAGAAGAGAGGAUGAAUUAUGAGAAAAUCGGCGGAGAUUAGUAAGAUCAAAUUCAUUAUGUUUGAAAUAAUGAAGAAAGGUGUAGAGUAAAGUGUAGUAUGUGAUGAGAAAAUAAAGGAUUUCGAAUAUUGUAAUCGUGAGUAGUUGAACAAUAUUGAAGUAUUGCAACUUAAGAGAUGUUUGGAUAUAAGUAUCUCGACAAAAGAAGUGAUAUUGGAAACUGUGAUGAAAGAUGGACGUGAAGUAAUGAUUUGGAAACAGGGUAAUGGUGUUGGAGUUUGACUUAAGAAAUUGAGUUUGGUGUGAAAGGAAUAAUUGUGUCGUUAAUGACGUAGUUUCGAUGUUCAUUAAUGGGAUUUAGAACUAUAUGUUGUGCUGAAAAACUUAAGACUGUGGUUUGGAUAAGAAUUGAACAUGGACGUAUUCAGAUUAAAAGGAACUAAGAGACUAAAAGGAAAAAGAAGGAACCUGUGAAAACUUGUAAAGUUGUGAAGUUAUCAACAGAGAUGAGAUUUUUUCGGAGUACGUGAAAUGGAUUGAGUGGUACUUGUUGUGGAAUGUUACUUUUCGGAUGUUUCGUGCUUAUGAAAGCCCUAUUGUAGUUUGGUAAAGAUGGUUUAUGCCAUCAUCAUGAUUAUUGGCUAUUUAUUGACAAAUUGAGGAACUGGCCGUCCUUGAUCUCUUGUUAAUAAGUAUAUGAAAAUCGUGUUGAUUGGAUGAGACUAAUUUUGUCAAACUCUGGUAGUGUAUAUGGUUUUGAGUGUUUUGUUGAAAAAUCAAAUGGAGGAGUCUUAUCUGGAGUUGUUUUAGCCGGACAAUUUUCGAGGGCGAAAAUUCUUUAAGUGGGGGAGAGUUGUAACAUCCCGAUUUUAUUAAUAAGUCAUUUAUUAAUUUAUUUGUGUUUAUUUAAUUAUGUGGCGUAUAACUUUCGUAAGUUAGUAUUUAUGAGUUUUAACCGGUUUUAAUUAAUUAGUGAGUUUAUGUGAAUUGGGCCUAAAUGGUGAUGAGAUGAGUAGAAUGAGGGGGUGCUAAUUGGAAAACAAACCCUUUGUAUUAAGCAAACUUUAUCUAUUAAAUAAAAAACCAUUUAUCACAAAAAAGAAAAAAAAAACAAGAAGAAAAGAAUAGAAAAGAGGUAGAACGAGGAAGAGAAAAGAGAAAAAGAAAGAAAAAGAACAAACUUAGAGAAGGAGAAAAAUCAAGAGAAGGACCAAAGAUUCCAACUAUUGUUAAGAUCCUCAGGUUGUGUAUGUUUGUCGGUGUUCGAGUUGUUGGUGAAGCUCCGCUCUGAUUGUGACACGGAAAAAGGGUUCAUAGAGUCUUUUACUGUUGUUGUCUUAUUUAAUUUAAAGAUGUAUUAGGAAAAAUAUUUUUGUAUAAGUGAUGUUUUACUAAUUAAUUUAAUUAGUAUUGUUUUAACGAAGAAUGUAACACCUUGAACCAAUAUUUUAUAAAUUCAUUUCGACUUAGAGUCUUAAAGUUA